GGCACUAGGGCCCAGGUAAGCUUAAGGCCCCCGAAGCCCGUAGUAAGCCUGAAACACUAAAAAUUUACUAUCUCAAUAUAAUUUUUUUAACAUUCAGCCCAUACUGAUUGGAAAAUAAACCGCAAGAUUCUAUUAAACCUCGGCCCAAAUUUAAAACAUCUUAAACAUUUACAAAUUACCCUGCUUACAAUACAAUAUUUAUAAUAUAUGCUCACAGAAUGAUUUCAUCUAUAAUAAUAUACGACUAAAAAUAUACAAAUCCUAUAACUGCGGAGUUCACUAACAAAUGAAUACAGAUAAGUCUUCGGACAUUUAUCUAUUUAAUAGAUCGAUACUAAAAUUAGAGAACUCUUUUCUAACAGUGAAAGAGUAGAGUUAUAGCUGGGACUUAGAAAGAGCUACUUCCUGAAAGAUUUAAACAAAAGAGAUGUGAGUUUGUUAAAGAAUAAUAAUUAUUGCACAACACACGCAUUCACACAAAUGUAUAAAUAUAUCAAUCUAGUCAUCCGACUAGUUAUAUGUUCACACAGCCAGUCACACAAUUGGCAUAUCACCAGCACUCACAAUUAUUAACAUCUUCAUAUAAUCACAUCACGUGGAAAUUAGUCAGUGG
RNAcentral lists this long non-coding RNA (613 nucleotides) under Jatropha curcas. Its description in RNAcentral is "long non-coding RNA (JCUR_LNC001274)". Lineage: Eukaryota; Viridiplantae; Streptophyta; Magnoliopsida; Malpighiales; Euphorbiaceae. The record is from RNAcentral.